CAAUCAUAAAACGGCUACUCAGAGGCAACAAACACUGCACUGAUGGCUUCUGACAACUUCAGACAGUGGCUGGAGAUGGGAAAAGCAUUGGCAGAUGAGUUUGCAUCAAAAAAACCAUCAAAGAAUGAUAUGAUUGGUUUCAUGGACAGUUUAUUUUAAAACCACACUUGACCUCGCUCAGGAUGAAGACCUUGGAAUUCAGCGGGCUCACCGAGCCCUGGCGCAGAGGCCAACUGACGCUAAUGCGAGGCCCCGCUCCAUCGUGCUCAGAU
This is a long non-coding RNA of Acanthochromis polyacanthus (spiny chromis), 272 nucleotides long. RefSeq lists it as uncharacterized. The transcript has 3 exons. Lineage: Eukaryota; Metazoa; Chordata; Actinopteri; Pomacentridae. The record is from RefSeq and is a predicted model, not a curated record.